Molecule: ribosomal RNA, 615 nt
Filed under: uncultured cyanobacterium
Lineage: Bacteria; Bacillati; Cyanobacteriota
Description: bacterial SSU rRNA
Rfam family: Bacterial small subunit ribosomal RNA
Source: RNAcentral
GAAUCUGCCCUUUGGUUGGGGAUAACGUUUGGAAACGAACGCUAAUACCCGAUGAGCCGAGAGGUAAAAGCUUUAGUGCCAAGGGAUGAGCUCGCGUCAGAUUAGGUAGUUGGUUAGGUAAAGGCUGACCAAGCCUGUGAUCUGUAGCUGGUCUGAGAGGAUGAUCAGCCACACUGGGACUGAGACACGGCCCAGACUCCUACGGGAGGCAGCAGUGGGGAAUUUUCCGCAAUGGGCGAAAGCCUGACGGAGCAAGACCGCGUGAGGGAGGAAGGCUCUUGGGUUGUAAACCUCUUUUCUCUGGGAAGAAGCUCUGACGGUACCAGAGGAAUCAGCAUCGGCUAACUCCGUGCCAGCAGCCGCGGUAAUACGGAGGAUGCAAGCGUUAUCCGGAAUUAUUGGGCGUAAAGCGUCCGCAGGUGGUUGUGCAAGUCUGCCGUUAAAACCAGUGGCUUAACCACUGACAGGCGGUGGAAACUGCAUAACUAGAGUGUGGUAGGGGCAGAGGGAAUUCCCAGUGUAGCGGUGAAAUGCGUAGAGAUUGGGAAGAACAUCGGUGGCGAAAGCGCUCUACUGGACCACAACUGACACUCAGGGACGAAAGCUAGGGGAGCG